UGACGAACGCUGGCGGCGUGCCUAAUACAUGCAAGUCGAGCGAGCGGAACUAACAGAUUUACUUCGGUAAUGACGUUAGGAAAGCGAGCGGCGGAUGGGUGAGUAACACGUGGGGAACCUGCCCCAUAGUCUGGGAUACCACUUGGAAACAGGUGCUAAUACCGGAUAAGAAAGCAGAUCGCAUGAUCAGCUUUUAAAAGGCGGCGUAAGCUGUCGCUAUGGGAUGGCCCCGCGGUGCAUUAGCUAGUUGGUAAGGUAAAGGCUUACCAAGGCGAUGAUGCAUAGCCGAGUUGAGAGACUGAUCGGCCACAUUGGGACUGAGACACGGCCCAAACUCCUACGGGAGGCAGCAGUAGGGAAUCUUCCACAAUGGACGCAAGUCUGAUGGAGCAACGCCGCGUGAGUGAAGAAGGUUUUCGGAUCGUAAAGCUCUGUUGUUGGUGAAGAAGGAUAGAGGUAGUAACUGGCCUUUAUUUGACGGUAAUCAACCAGAAAGUCACGGCUAACUACGUGCCAGCAGCCGCGGUAAUACGUAGGUGGCAAGCGUUGUCCGGAUUUAUUGGGCGUAAAGCGAGCGCAGGCGGAAGAAUAAGUCUGGUGUGAAAGCCCUCGGCUUAACCGAGGAACUGCAUCGGAAACUGUUUUUCUUGAGUGCAGAAGAGGAGAGUGGAACUCCAUGUGUAGCGGUGGAAUGCGUAGAUAUAUGGAAGAACACCAGUGGCGAAGGCGGCUCUCUGGUCUGCAACUGACGCUGAGGCUCGAAAGCAUGGGUAGCGAACAGGAUUAGAUACCCUGGUAGUCCAUGCCGUAAACGAUGAGUGCUAAGUGUUGGGAGGUUUCCGCCUCUCAGUGCUGCAGCUAACGCAUUAAGCACUCCGCCUGGGGAGUACGACCGCAAGGUUGAAACUCAAAGGAAUUGACGGGGGCCCGCACAAGCGGUGGAGCAUGUGGUUUAAUUCGAAGCAACGCGAAGAACCUUACCAGGUCUUGACAUCUAGUGUCAUUUGUAGAGAUACAAAGUUCCCUUCGGGGACGCUAAGACAGGUGGUGCAUGGCUGUCGUCAGCUCGUGUCGUGAGAUGUUGGGUUAAGUCCCGCAACGAGCGCAACCCUUGUUAUUAGUUGCCAGCAUUAAGUUGGGCACUCUAAUGAGACUGCCGGUGACAAACCGGAGGAAGGUGGGGAUGACGUCAAGUCAUCAUGCCCCUUAUGACCUGGGCUACACACGUGCUACAAUGGGCAGUACAACGAGAAGCGAGCCUGCGAAGGCAAGCGAAUCUCUGAAAGCUGUUCUCAGUUCGGACUGCAGUCUGCAACUCGACUGCACGAAGCUGGAAUCGCUAGUAAUCGCGGAUCAGCACGCCGCGGUGAAUACGUUCCCGGGCCUUGUACACACCGCCCGUCACACCAUGGGAGUCUGCAAUGCCCAAAGCCGGUGGCCUAACCUUCGGGAAGGAGCCGUCUAAGGCAGGGCAGAUGAC
RNAcentral lists this ribosomal RNA (1480 nucleotides) under uncultured organism. RNAcentral's name for it is "SSU rRNA". It matches the Rfam family "Bacterial small subunit ribosomal RNA". The record is from RNAcentral.